Non-coding RNA from Oryzias latipes (Japanese medaka), 2396 nucleotides. NCBI's taxonomy places the organism in Eukaryota, Metazoa, Chordata, Actinopteri, Beloniformes, Adrianichthyidae. The record is from RefSeq and is a predicted model, not a curated record.
CCAGGACAGAUUUGCCCCCCUGACUGUUGAUUUCUGUUUUUAGCAGCUGCUAAAAACAGCAGCCCCCUCAGAGAACAGAGUUGCAUAAUCAGCACGUCAGCAUUGUUCCUCUCAUAGUAACAAGUGAUGCUGACGGCAGGGAGGCAGACGAGAGGAAGAGGAAGAGCAGCAGAACAAAAAGCAACGGGGGGGGGGGUCACUUUGUGAUGAGGUUACAUCACAGCCCCCUCCAAGAGAAAGUCAGGAAGUUUUGUUAAAGCAGAUGCAGCUUUGUCCUUUAGUACAUAAGGAAUGAGCGGCCCGGCCGCUGCAAUGAACUGCUGAUCUGCUGCCGCUCUGACUCUGCCUGUGGUCCCAAGUGGAGGGUUCGAACGCUGGAACAAGGUUUGCUUCAGGGCGGACCUCAGACUGGGAACCUGCAUGUCUUUGUCGUCAUGGCAGCAGAUGGACACAUGCUGAACGGACGACAGUCCAUCAUCUGCGUCUACAAUGACCACAGGCACCAAAAAUGCAAUCCACAAGAAGCGGAUCAGACCCAAACCGGAGGAUGAGGUUGGACACCAAAACAAAGAGGAGAAGAAAAGAUGGUGGACCUGAUGGAAGACGACAAACAGGAUGCAGACUGAUGGAGUCAGAAAUCCUUCAGCAUCUGAUGAAGAAGAGUCUUUGAGAUGAAGACCAACAUGUUUCAGUGAUUUCCCUUCCUUCAGACCUGCAACCAGCCGCCAUGAGAUGAUGAAGUGCAGCGGGAGCCUGUUCAUCUGCAGUCGGAGCUUCCAGAUGAUAUGACCAGAACAGAUGCAUGUCAUGAAUCAAAGGUCCAGAACCACCCGGCUCGCUGAUGCGUUCCGCAGGCGCUCGGCCUGCUGGAAGCUCCUGGCAGGGGAACGUCCUCACAGCCCGGACCACACCGCGGCGGCGGCCUCGCCUGAACCCAGCUCGUGAACGCAUCGACCCCACCUGAGACCAAACGGAGCGGCGAGCCAAAACAUAUCAAAGCAUAACUUGAGGCUGGCCCAGCUCAAAUUGGAAAAGCAUGAAGGCCUGAAAGAAGGAUCACACAUGUUUCAGAUUGAACCGUCGAUUCUCCAAAGGCGUCAGAACCUCCUUCACCGUCAUGCGACUGAACUCGGGUCCUGAAUGAGACGGGGAUCUGAUCUCCUCAUCCAGGUCAAAUCUGCCUGGUCUACCUGUCACCUGCUUUCACCUUCAGCUCAGCUGCUCCUCGUUUGGCUGACGACCUCCAGGCUACUUAAGUCUGUUUCUCAGAGGCCGUCUGGUUCUUGUCUGCUGUGAUUCUGUCUUGAAGUCCCUCCUGCUGCCUUAUUGUUUGGUUCUUUGUGUCACUGGAACCUGGGCCGUUCAGGUUUUACUUUAUGGGUUUGAUUUAGUCAACAAAAUGAGGAUUUUGAACCUGAAUGAAGCAAAACGACUUCAACCUAAGUCCAUCAGACACUGGAAUCCAUUAAAAAGGUUUAGAAAAUUUCAUGACGAUGUGGAUGAUGCUGCUUAAAUAUGACUGAACCACAGAAAUGUCAAACUUGUUAAAGUUCAUCCUGUCUUUAAGGUUUUCCUGUGAUCAAAAACAUUUAAAAUAUAGCGAUUUUACAGCAACUUGAUCAAAAAUAUUUCUAGAGGAUUCACAGAAAUACUUGUACCCGUUAAAAAUCAGCUGUUUUUUGGGUUAUUCAUAUUUUUGCAUGCAAAAGUUCAGUUUUUGCAGUAAUGACUGUAGUGAUGAAGAGUUUCUGAAUAAUUCCCUUUAGUCUGACCCCAAACUGGACGACCAGAGACCACGGAACGCUUCCUAAAACUGUGAAUAUAUAUAGACGGCUGAAGUAACAAAUCCAAAAUAAAAACAAAAUAUUUGGCCCAACAGCCUGACCGAGUUCACAGAAAAUUCAAUUUUCAAUUCAAUUCAAUUUUAUUUAUAAAGCCCAAAUUCACAACGGUGGUCUCAAUGGGCUUCGGAUCGGUAAUUGGAAAAGGAUUCACAUCUGUUUUUAAAACAUAAAAUAUACACAUUUUCUCUUAUGUCCAUAAAAUUUGUGAAGAAACACAAAUACGGAGCAGAAUUUUGCCAAUCUGAAACCAAAUAAUACAGAAAAACAUGAAAGUGUGAACUUUUCUUCCUGAAGUCUGAACAGAAUCACUAGAGUCUCUGGAUUUCUCUGCAUCGCGUCUCCAGUCUGCUCCCUUCAAUCUGUCAUAAGGUUUUAAAUAUCUGUUUAUUAAUGUCUUAGUUUAUACGGAUGUCAGAUAAUGAGAAUGUAGUUUAAUUAAAGUCUCAGAUUAUGAAGAUCUACGAUUUUAGUCAUUUCUGUUCAAAAGAUCCCAGAUUAAGACAAUCUCAGAUUUUAAAAAUCUCAUUGUCUCUUUUUUUUAUUUAUUUAUUU